RNAcentral lists this small nuclear RNA (102 nucleotides) under Zostera marina. The record is from RNAcentral. Lineage: Eukaryota; Viridiplantae; Streptophyta; Magnoliopsida; Alismatales; Zosteraceae.
UUCUCUUGGAGACAUCUGAUAAAAUUGGAAUGAUACAGAGAAGAUUAGCAUGGCCCCUGCGCAAGGAUGACACGCACGAAUCGAGAAAUGGUCCAAAUUUUU